GCUGAGGAUAACCGAGUGAACGGAUUUUCUUGUAAGGGUGGUUGCCCCUCUCGGUUGUGCCAAUGAUUUUCUUUAGCUACUAAACCAACAACCCUUGUUCAUGAAAUAUUCAGAGCCAGAAGCUAUGAAGCCACAUAUCUUAGUGUGUGCGCGUGUGUGUAUUUUUUUCCUUCUUUCAAGUUUAUCUUUUUCAUGAUGAAAUCAGUAUUUGGUUACUGAUGUAUCCCUCUAAGAAGAGAAAAGUUGGGAAUUUUCAGGUGAGAACCAAGAACUUUCCAGAAUGAAGAAGUCAGCCCAGAAAGAGAACUGAGGCUAACAGAGGGGAGGGAAUUUUCUUCUAAGGGUGGUCACCCCUCUCUGUUUGGCCCAAUGAUUUCUUUAGCAACUAAAUCAACAGCCCUUGUUCAUGAAAUACUCAGAAAGGUCACUUUGAUAAUGGAAAAACAAGCAUUAAUCUUCAUCUGUUUUCUGUCUGCAGCUUUAGCAUAAACUUGUGUCUGUGUGUGUGUCAUUUUGGCACGUAUCUUUUUCCCCUUUUUGAGUGAUAGAGGCAGUGAUGAUGUUUCAAUUUCUGGGCUGACAAAAUUGGGUAUUGGACAAUGCAACCCGUAUCUUGGCUUGGCAAAUCGACUGGCGAUAUUGCAGCCAUGGCGUGUUUGCCUUCUCUUUGCCUGAUCGAAAGGCAGAUCUGAGCCUCAAAUUUCUGGGAAUCGAACCCGGCUCCUCUUGUUCUUUGAAAUCUAUUAAUGUUUGGUCCAAAUUUUAGCCCAAGCUUCAGACCAAAAGAAUGUCAGAGAAGAUGGGUACUCUGGUAAGCCCAUGAUUUCAAAACCAAAAGCACUUUGCUUUCUCAUUGACCGUGGUUGAUAGAUAUAUAGAUAGAAUUUUUUUCUGAUUCCAUGCAAACCCAAACCAAUCUAUCGACUAUGCUCAAUCCCUGGAUACAUGAUUGGAAAUGCUAUUGGAAGGAAUUGAACCUUCGACCUUGUGGUUAAUAGCGACAUGCUCUAACCAACUGAGCUACACCAUGCAAACCCAAAGUGGAUGAGAAAAAGACAAAUAAAUGAAUGAAGGGGCUAUGAUGAAAUUCUUCCUAGAAAAUGAAAUGAAGCAUUCAGAUAAUUUGAGCCGUAGCUUGGCAGGGCGACCUUUUAGCGUCUAUGGUAACAUGCUAAAGGCUUGCAGCCAUCACGGUGCUGAAUCCAGCAUGCCAAUGAUUUCUUUGUUGCUUCAACCAACAGCUCCUUUUUGUAGGUUUUUGCUGUCUACAGUGGAUGGAAUUUCAACCCAGAAUAAAGAAUGAGGCCAACAGGGAGAAGGGAUUUCUUGGAGGGUGGUUGCCCUCUCUGCUUGGCCUAUGAUUUCUCCAUCUACCAAAUCAACAACCCUCUUCAGAAAAAAAAAAAACAGGCAAGUAUGUUUGGUGAUUCUGAUAGUCGAGAUACUAUCUUUUUGAGCUUAAGCCUUGAGGCAAUGUUUUUGGUCCAAAACAUCCCCAGACCUGAAGGUUGUGUUUGUUUGAUGAGAAUUUUUUAACAUGUCCAAAUGGCUCCUAGAACUAUGGAAAAGUUGCCAUUUCUCGAAAGAAGUAAUGAUGAUACUGCCAAUCCCUGCUGAAGUUCGGGGCAUGGAGACAGUCCGACCCGUAUCUUGGCAGGGCAAACAUGGAUGGUUUGGGAUUGAGGCCUUCUCUUUCACAUGCAACUGGCUGCUUGCAGCCAUGGCGUGUUGUUGUCUACUCUUUGCCCCAUUUUAUGCAGAUCUGAGCCUCAAUAUCCAACUAGUACCUCUGGAUUUUUUGGGUCUCGAACCCAGAAUCUCUCGUUUGGUGAAAAACAUUUGGGUUAUUCAAUUUUUCUUGAACACCUUGUUGCUGUUCUCCAUCAAAUUUUAGCUCAAAGAAUUGAGGUAAUUGGAGGGAAAAAAAAGGGAUCUUUUAGGGUGGUUGACCAUCUCCCACAUUCAUAUGGUUUCUAUUCUUUUUAAGUUCUCACAAACAGCUCUUUUUGUUUGUGUGUGUGUUUGUUAAUCAACCCCCAUACAUUAGGCACCAUAUUGAUUAUUUUUCUCUUGAUAUGGUGCACAAUUAUCGUACUAGUGUGGAGACCCAAAUCACCGCAUUGAACGCUGAUUUUCGUCACAGAAACCCAAAGGGAAGGUACUAGCCUGGAAUCGAACCCGGGUCUGUACUGCAGCAGGGUACUAUCUACCACUAGACCACUGGUACCAGGAAUAGAUCAUUUUAUCUCUGUUUUCUGCUACUAUUAUACUCUGUUCCUCAGAGGCUGCGUUGGCAAAGCAACAGCAGAACCAUAUAACAAUGAAAUGGAAAAGAAAAUGAUGGGGCUGUGAUGAUUGAUUGUUAUUGAGCGUAUGGAACCUGGCAUUGUAGUUUCAGGCCUGUAUCUUGGCGGGGCAACCCGUAUUAUAGGAUCUGCAGCCAUGGCAGUGUCAAAGAACUCGUUGCCUGAGAUAAUUACCUAUCUGAGCCUCAAGUCUUUUGAAAUGGCUGAAUAUAUUGAUGGCCUUUCAAACUUGCCGAAAGUUUUCAUUUAGAUGCAUGUUGCUGAAGUCGUCCAAACAGGCUCUUGUGGAAAAGUUUCCAUUUUUCAGAAGAGGCAAUGAUGAUAUUGCUAAUCUUGGCUGAAAUUUGAGGCAUGGAGAAAAUCUGACUCCAUAUCAUGGCAUGGAAAACCGGGAUGGUUUGUGAUUGGGGCUUCUCUUUUACAUGCAACCGGUUUCUUUUGCAGUCAUGUUGUUGUCGCCUUCUCUUUUCCCCAUUUUAGGCAGAUCUGAGCCUCAAUUUCCAAUUAGUCUUUAAAUAGGGGGCCCCAAAAUGGCUAUUUGUGUCGUCCCCCACUUUAUUUGCAUUGAGAAAAUUCGGCCGUAUCUUGGCGGGGCGACCUGGUAUGACAUCAUCUGCAAACCGGUGUCUGCAGCCAUGGCCUGUAUCACUUUCUCUUUGCAUAGAUCAAAGAACAGCAAAAUUUGAGCUCUGAAGUCACAGGACUACCAUUUGAUGGUCUUGAAUUGGAUGGCUGUUCUCUGGAACCUGAAUCCCAUUCGGGUUCUUCAGUUUUUCUUGAAUAACCCAGUUAAGGUGCUGUUCUCCAUCAAAUCUUUAGCUAAAAAGUGAGACAAUAGGAGAAAAAUGGGAUUUUUCACCAUCUCCAGCAUGCCAAUGCGUCUCUUCAGCUCUAACCAAGAGGCCUUUGUGUGUAUAUAUGUGUGUGUAUUAACUACACAAAAGUGGCGGUUCUGCCCAACAUGAAUACUGAGGCCAACAGAUAGACAAGGGAAUUCUUGGGAAUACGUCAACCCAAAGAACAACCCUCUUCAGAAGUAGUAGUACUGCUUUCUGAUUUCUCUUAACUUAAACCCAACAUCAUAUGUUUGAAAUUGUCCAAACGGGCUCUGUAUGGUAAAAUUACCAUUUUUCUGGAGGCAGUGAUGAUAUUGCUAAUCUGGGAUGAUAUUCGGGGCAUGGGACAAUCUGACCAGUAUCUUGGCAGGGCAAAUCCAGGUGGUUUGUGCUUAUCUUUCACAUGCAACCGGCUCUUUUGCAGCCAUGUCGUUGUCGGAUUCUCUUUACAACAGCAACAACAACAUACCCAGUGUAAUCCCAUAAGUGGGGUCUGGGAGGGUAGUGUGUAUGCAGACCUUUCCCCUACGUCGCAAGGUAGAGUGGUGUCAGAUUCUCUUUGUCCCAUCUUUUUGCAGAUCUGAGGCUCCAUUUCCAACUAGUCUUUCUGGACUUUCAAGACUCGAACCUAGGAGUACCUUGUUGUAUGGAAACCCAUGUCAUUUGUGGACUAUGCAUGUUGUUGCUGCUGCAUCUUCUUCUGUUUCUUUUGUUCUUGAUGGUGAUGGUUGUGUUAUCAACCAAAUAGCAGAAAAUUAAUGCAAGAAGAGGGAGAUUUUAUGGCUGUGAUGUUAUAAUGCUUUUAUUAUUAGCAAUUUGAAUUGGGUGUUGAGAUGAUAAGAACCGUAUCUUGGCAGGGUUACCAGGCGAGGUAGCAGCCAUGGCAGUUUCUGAUAAACUCAAUGCCUGAUUAAAAUUGAAAACUGAGCCUUGUCAUGUACAUGAUGUACAUGUAUAUUGUCUGUAUAUAGAACACACACACAAGUAAACAAAGUGUGGUCUCUCUAACAGCUUAAGCUUUUAGAUGAGAUGGUCACACACUUCAACACACACAAAAAGACACAUCAACAACAACAACAACAUACCCAGUGAAAUCACACAAAGUGGGGUCUGGGGAGGGUAGAGUGUACAUAGACCUUACCCCUACCUUGGGAGGUAGAGAGGCUGUUUCUGGUAGACCCUCGGCUUAAGGACAAAAUAGCAAGUUGAUCGACUCUGCAUGGAUCGAACCCAGAAUCUCUGGUUCUGUAGGCUAGCGCCUUAUCCAUUUUGCCACAGAGUCUUUGAUACUACAUGUCCAAAAUGGUCCCUUCUCGAGGCAGUGAUGGUCUUUAAAUCUAUCCUCCUAAGCUAGUAAUUGAGCAUAGAGUAUCGACCCGUAUCUUGGCGAGGCAUUGACCUGGUUGCCUGUGGUUUGAUUACAUGCAACUGGGGGUAUUGCAGCCAUGGCGUGGCCGGACUUUCUUUGCCCGAGCAUAAAACAGAUCUGAGCCUCAAUUGUCACUUAUAUAUUACUCUAUGGUGUUUGGUAUGGAGGAAAAUGUUUCAGUGAGGAAGAAUGAGGCAGCAGAGAGAUGGGAAUUUCUGUGAAGGUUAGUUGCCCCUCUCUGCUAUGUCCUUAAUUUCUCCAUUUGUGAAACCAACAACCCAGUUGAGAAAAACAAGAAAAGGAAAAUGAUAACCAUCCCAACAACACCCCUUGAGUAUUUACCUCUGUGAAAAAGGGGCUAUGCUCUUCCUGUCUUCUGCUUCUGCUGCUACCACUGCUAUCUAUGAUAAACAGCAGCCCUAAAAGUCGAUGCCUGGUGUCGUUUCUACGUUGAUCUUCGCAGAUCACCUGAAAAUGGGCUGUGAUGAUGAUUGCUUCCUUCUGGGCUAUCUAAUUUACUGCUUUGAGAAAAUCUGACCCAUAUCUUGGCUGGGUGACCCGGUAUGGUACCAUAUGCAAACCGGUGUCUGCAGCCAUGGCGUGUGUCGCUUUCUCUUUGCAUGUCCAUAUACAGAAAAAUCUGAGCCCUAUAAACUCUCUUAUAAAUCAGUGUGUUUGACCUCACAAAAAUGGAGGUUGAGCCCAAAUUGAGGAAAGAGGCCAACAGAGAAAAGAGAAUUCUUGGAAGGGUGGUUGCCCCCUCUGUUUGGCCUAUGAUUUCUCCAUCAAUAAAACCAACAAUCCUAUUGAGAAGUAUUACUAUUACUGUUUCUGAUUUCUCUGAGCUUAAACCAAAUAUUAUGGACAUCCGCAGCAGGUUACCUGUGCGGUCUCUUCUUCGAUUCAAAUGUGUUUCAAGUUUUUGGAAGACAUUAAGCUCUGAGCCUUACUUUAAGAUGAAGCAUCUCAAUCAUGCCAAGAAUAACCAAAUUCCCAAAAACUCUUGUUAGCCUAUGGUACCUUUCUACGGACGAGUUCAACUGGUUGAGGAUGUGCAAAAGCUUGGUUGGCCUUCAAAUGGUAAACCACGGAGUUUCAAGCUUUCUGUAUAAACAAUUUUGUUCUGAAUAAUACAGAACUAAAAUGUUCGAAAAAGUUCGCAGCAGAGUAGCACUUCACCAUCCAAACAUCUAUAUUUCAGCAUGGCUGAAUAAAGACCGGUAACUUGUAUAUUAAACAAAUUAUUCCAAGAUUUAUUGAUACCAUAGUCUUUCAUUACCCAUAACUUAAAAGUGUCCUUCCCUUUACGUAAGUAGAAUAACCACAAAGCAUUCCUGCCAAUACUGAAACGCCACUUUUAAAAUCAAGCACAAUCCUUCUGGCAACAGUAUCUCUCGGUACACCUCAUUUGAAAUACUAAAUGAAACCACAAAAUUAUUCACUGACAAACCAAGCCAAUGAAAUGCUCCAUGUACAAAUGCCAAAGUGUUCAUGUUAUACUACACAUGGUAAAUACUGGUAGGAUGUUUAUCAAUUUUUCUCCAGGAACCACUUUUCAGCACUAGAAUUUCACUGCGUGCUGUGUGCUCUCUCCAAAAUUACUUACUUGGGGAUUGGCUAAAUAUAUAGUGGGUUUAGCAAAAAUCCUCUCAGUUAAGCUGAGAAAGGAAGAAUGAGACGUCAGAGAGACGGGAUUUUCUGUGAAGGGUGGUUGCCCCUCUCUGCUAUGUCCAUGAUUUCUCCAUUCACAAAACCAACAACCCUCUAGGAAAAGAAAAACAACAAAAUGAUAAACCAUGAUACCACUGCUAACUAUGAUAAGUAGCAGCCUGGUGUCAUUUCUACGUUGAUCUUCGCAGAUCACCUGAAAAUGGGCUGUGAUGAUGAUUGCUUCUUUCUGGGCUAUCUAGUUUACUGCUUUGAGAAAAUCUUACCCGUAUCUUGGCUGGGCGACCCGGUAUGGCAUCGUCUGCAAACCGGUGUCUGCAGCCAUGGCGUGUCACUUUCUCUUUGCAAGAUCGUAUAUAGCAAAAUCUGAGCCCUAAAGAGGUCUUUUGCACAACAAUGAGAAUUUGCCCAGAAGGAAGAAUGAAGGCCAACAGAGAGAAAAAUGAUUUCUUGGAGGGUGGUUGAUCUCUCUGGUUGGCCUGUAAUUUCUCCAUUAAAAGAAAUUACUUUUUCCUUCACUAAUGUACCCUUGAUCGGCCACGGCAAGAGCAAAAGAACUUGGGAAUUGAGCGUUGUGCUAUAUAUAUUAGUGUCUUAGCAGAACCCUCACCAUAGUUUAGCCCAGAAAGUAAGAAUGAGACAUCAGCGAGAAAAUGGGAUUUCUGUAAAGGGUGGUUGCUCUCUGUCUGCUAUAUGUCCAUGAUUUCUUUCUCCAUUCAUAAAAGAAAGUCAACAGCUCUUUGAGAAAAAAGAAAAAGAAACCAUAUAUGCAUUUGGGCAUAGAUUCCAAAUAUUUUUUGCUUCUGCUACUACUGCAGCUGAUUUUCGCAAAUAUCCACUUUUUAAGGAAGUUAUUGCGUGGAUUCUAAAGAGUUGAGGGACAAAAAUUAAAUACAACCAUCAAAAUAGGGGCAUUUGUGCAAAUGACCCAUUUUUGAGAGUUUGGAACCUAAAUGACGUGAAAAAAAGGGCUCUGAUGAGGCUUGUUUCUGGGCUAAUAAUCUACUUUACUCGCUGCUUUUGAGAAGAUCCGACCCGUAUCUUGGCGUGGCGACCCGGUACGACAUCCAUGUGCAAACCGGUGUCUUGCAGCCAUGGCGUGUGUUGGUUUCUCUUCGCAUGUUCAUUUACAGAAAAUCUGAGAGAAAAUGACAAAAAUGAUCCUUUAUCUUUGAGGGUAGGUUCAGAAUAGUCUCUUAAGUAUGCUAGUUACCAUUUUGGUCCUUUAAGUUUUUCAAAAGUUUAACACUUUUAGUGUCCGUCAAAUAUUUAUCGAACUCUGUCGGUUAGAUUUGACGGAAACAGUGGGGAAAAAAAGACUUAAACUAUAAAUGUCUUCAAACAUAAGGGACCAUUUUGUCAAAAUCUGACAUGUAUCUUGGCGGGUCGACCCGGUAUGGCAACAUUUGCAACCCGGUGUCUGCAGCCAUGGCGUGUGUCGCUUUCUCUUUGUAUGUUCGUACACAAGAAAAAUGUGAGCCCUAAAAAUUUGUUCGUCUGGGAAUUCAUUCUUUACUCAUCAGAUGGUUGAGCUUGGCUAUAGCUUGGCAUGGCAUCUUUUUGGAGUCUUGUGAGAUAUGGGAGCUACUAGGUUUCUGUGUCUCACAAAGGCUUCUUAAUCUUGCAGCCAUAGUUGGGUUUAGCUUAUGUCUGAGAAAAAGUUAAUCUUUGUGCCCAAGGAAUGAGGCUUUUUAUGGAACUCGAGAAAGGUUGAGAUUUUCUAAGGGUGGUUAUUCUCUUUCUCUGAAGAUCAAUUUAGCCGAUGAAUUUUCCAGUACUUUUGUUACCAAAAGAAAGAUUAACUACCCUUUCAUCAACUAAUGUCAAUUAUGCUCUUGAUGAUGAUGAUGAUGAUUCCGUGGCUAUGGUAACCAUAAGGGAAAAUACAUAUUCAACCCCCCAAACUUUUUCAUGAAAUCCUGAUUCCUAAAUCCUGAACUUCAUAAUGAGGCUGUGAUGAUACUUUCUUGGAAGCUUGAAAAUCAGAUUUUUUAGCUGAUUAGCAUCUUGGCUAGGAGAAGGCAGCAGAAUUGGUGAGGUAGGUUUAUGUGCUUCUCACAAUGGCGUCUGCUUUUUGCAGCCUUGGUUAGGCAAAUCUGAGCCUUCUUUCUGUGUGAAGCGACAUGGUUAGCAGGUGAGUUUGUUUUUCUGCUCUUGUGCAAUUAUACAGAAGAGGCAGCAAUGAUGAUGUUUCACUUUCUAGAAUCGUUGAAUCUGGACAUUGAACAAUUUGACCUGUAUCUUGGCCUGGCAAAUCAGUGGAUGGUUGGCAUUUGAGAUUCUCUCUUUUGCACGCAACCAGUGAUAUUGCAGCCAUGGCGUGGUUGCCUGCUCAAGAUCAUAUUUGAGCCUCAAAUUUCUGGGAGUCGAACUCGGGUCCUCUUGUUCUUUGAAAUCUUUUAGAACUCAAGGAUACAGUGGUACGAGCCAAUAGAACUGAUCCUGCUCAAUUAAGGUCGUCAUUAAGUUUAACAGGUCUUUUCUCCGGUUCUUGCUGCUGUUGGACUAUUUUAUGAAUCAAGCAGCAAGAAGUCAUUGUAAGAACAGGGAGAAUUUAUUGCUGUGAUGGUAAUGCCUUUUUCUAUUUUGAGCAACUGAGUUAGCCGCUGAGAUGAUAAGAGCCGUAUCUUGGCGGGGUAACGUGGGAAGGUUGCAGCCAUGGCGGUUUCUGAUUAAACUCACUGCCUGAUUGUUAUGUGCAUGAUGUGCAUGUAUAUUAUCUAUGUACAUACCGACACACACACAUGCAUACCUAUCAUGAGAAAAUGUCAAAAAUGGUCCCUUAUCGAUCCUCCCGAGCCAGUAAUUGAGCAUAGAGAGUACCUGGCAUGUAUAUUGGCGGGGCAAUGACCCAGAUACAUGUGAUUGUUUCACGCAAUUGGGGAAUCUGCAGCCAAGGCGUGGCCGGACUUUCUUUGCCUGAGAAUAAAUACAGAUGAGAGCCUCAAUUGUAACUUACACAGUCAGACAUCUCUAUAACAACAUUUCACUGUAUUAUAUGUUCUCUAUGUCAGCAGUACGCUAUAUCAGCCAAAAUAUAUCAGGACAAACAAUGCUGCUAUAGUGAGGUUUGAUUGUAUCUUACUCUUGGUAUUUUUGGCAUGGAGGGAACUAUUUCAGUGAAGUAGUCAUUUCAACAAAUAAGACCUUCGACAUGAGGCCCGUAAUUUGGGAGGUCCAAAAGGAUCAGGGCUCUAUAAAUAUGAAGCAGAAGGUGAAACGAAAAUGGAAAAAUUUCAUUAGUUCAAGUCUGAGGCUGAUUCAGAGAGUUGCGGGGAGUUGUUUGAGUGGUUGCCCCCUGUCAUUCUUAGCAGCCAAUGAUCACUCAAAGUUUCCCAAUUUCAAACCACUCUCUAGCAAAAUAAGUUCAAUGAGGCAGUGAUGAUUUCAUUCUAUACUCAUCAGAUGGUUGAGCCUUGCUAUCUUGGUGUGGCAGCUUUUGGGGGGUUUUGUGAGAUAUUGGAGCUAUUUUGGUUUUUGCGUCUGACAAAGGCUCCUUAAGCUUGCAGCCAAGGCGGGGUGUAGCUUACGUCUGAGAGAAGGCGAAUCUGAGCCUUCCUAAAAUAUCUUUUAUAGUUCAAAUGAGACUUUUUAUGGAACUCGAGGAAGGUUGAGAUUUUUAUGGAAUUUCAGACUUUGUUUAAGAUCUGAUUUGGUCAGAUGUAAUAAGAUCUAUUAAGAGGUUGUAUCUUAAAAAAAAAAGAAGAAAAAACAAAUACAUUUAAUGGGCUGACGUCUGAACCAUUCAGAUUUAGACUCUAACUAAGUGCAAACAAAUGAGGCCUAAAUAUCUUUUAUUGUUUAAAAUGAAGUUUUUAUGGAACUCGAGGAAGGUUGAGAUUUUCUGAGGGUGGUUACUCUCUUUCUCUGAAGUUCCAUUUAGCCGAUGAAUUUUCCACUACUUUUGUUACAAAGAGAAAGAUUAACAACCCUUUCAUCAGCUAAUGUCAAUUAUGCUCUUGAUGAUGAUGAUAGCCAUGGUUAUGGUGGAAAAUACAUAUUCUUCCCACCUAAACUUUUCCGGUAAACCCGAAUCUUAAACCCUAAACUUUGUGAAUAAGGCUGUGAUGAUAUUCCCAAGUAAGAUUUAUAAUCAGAUUUUUGAGCUGAUUCGUAUCUUGACUAGGCAAAGGCAGGGGAAUUUGUGAGGUUGGUUCUUAUGUGCUCUCACACAAAAGACCUCUGCUUUAUGCAACCACGGUGGAUUAGACUUUUUCUGAUAGAUCAAAUCUGAGCCUCUUUUCUGUGUUAACUGUAUUUCUACAAUGGCUGGUCUGUCUCUUUCGUUCUUUACCUUUUUGUUUUUUGAUGAAAUCGUCCUUUACUUCUUUAUAUGAUCAUGUUGUAUAGUAUUGGUUUGAGUGGAGUCUAAAUGGAGUGACAUGAUCAGUGACGAUUUAUAAUGUUGAUCCCAGCUUGUUUGGGACUGAGACGUUAUUGUUAUGUUCUUUUUAUAUUCAUAUUCUUUCUGCUACUUUUGCAUUUAUAUCAGGAAGAAUCCAAGUUUCAUAAGAAAACCGUUAUGUGUUUAUCUACACAUUCUCCUGGAGUGAAAUUAUUAGCUACUGAUAUGAAACAAGACCAAAGGGAAUGGAAGUGAAUAUUGAGGAUUCAUAUACCUGUCCUUGACCAGUUUGAUACCAAAGCUAUUUGGCAAAUUUAUCUACACACUUUUCCAAACUUUCAUGCCUCAUUUCGAUAUUGAAAUCCCAAGUUUCAGAGGCAGUAAAGAUUAUGCAUAAUGAAAAGGAAAAGUGAAAAUAUUGUUGAUUCAUGGCCUGGCUUGGCAAGACCAAUCGGAAGGUCUUUCUUAUAAGGCAACCGAUGAUUGCAGCCACGACAUUGCUAUUUCCUUUGAUUAAAUAGGCGAAAAUCUGAGCCUCAGCCUCAACAUGGUUUGUUUACAUUUUUUUUUUUUUUUAAACAAGUCUUUCUAGAAACAAUUUAAACUAGAUUUUUUUGCGUGGUUCUUUGGUCUAUUAUUUUGAAUUCAGACUCUCUUCUAUUCUGUGUGGUUACUGGUUUGCUAAAGAUUGGAGAGAGUUAUGGUGUCUCCAAUUCCCCAAGAUCAUCUUUCUGCAGAGCCAGAUUCUAACAUCGGUUGGCCAUUUUUUUCUUUUUUUACUAAUUUCAUUUUCUAAUGCUAAUUAUUAUCCCAGUUGAAGCUGUAGUUUCUUGGAGCCCUACUCUUAACUUUCAAGACUAUUUUAACUCUUGGGACUUGAUACUAUGUUGAUACAAGUUUUAAGCUGGUGCUUAUUCGACGAGUACAUGCAGCAGUUCAAGAGACGCCUGAUAGCCCAACACGUUGAAAUGAAGAAAUCCGGUCAGUUCAAGAACUAAACAUAUCCAGCAGCUGAUUGAACUUAGCAUUCUAAAAUUCUUGAAAUUUUUUGCGGUACAGUAUGAGCAUAGCAUUGAUGUCCAGUUGGCUUGAAUUUGUAAACCUUUGCUAACACCGAGAGUUUGCCUUGAAAAUGUAUUUGCGAUUUGUAUAGGGGCAAGCACUUAGAUUUUAGAUACUUUUCAGUGAUGUUAGUUUCAUUUCUUAUUCCUGUUCAUUCAUUUUGUCUUUAUUAGGAAAGUGAAAGACACGAUGAACAAGAAGUUGGACUUGAAUUCAGUCCGUGAGCUGCUUGGAUGGUUAACAUGUUGUUUAAUAAUGUAUCGUAUUAUAUUGUAUUGUAUCGUUAGAU
Long non-coding RNA from Lycium ferocissimum, 11875 nucleotides. RefSeq lists it as uncharacterized. The record is from RefSeq and is a predicted model, not a curated record. The transcript is spliced from 4 exons. Lineage: Eukaryota; Viridiplantae; Streptophyta; Magnoliopsida; Solanales; Solanaceae.